RNAcentral lists this ribosomal RNA (497 nucleotides) under uncultured bacterium. Its description in RNAcentral is "partial 16S ribosomal RNA". It matches the Rfam family "Bacterial small subunit ribosomal RNA", at positions 28 to 507 of the family's 1533-position model. The record is from RNAcentral.
GAUGAACGCUGGCGGCGUGCCUAAUACAUGCAAGUCGAGCGAACAGAUAAGGAGCUUGCUCCUUUGACGUUAGCGGCGGACGGGUGAGUAACACGUGGGUAACCUACCUAUAAGACUGGAAUAACUCCGGGAAACCGGGGCUAAUGCCGGAUAACAUUUAGAACCGCAUGGUUCUAAAGUGAAAGAUGGUUUUGCUAUCACUUCUAGAUGGACCCGCGCCGUAUUAGCUAGUUGGUAAGGUAACGGCUUACCAAGGGAACGAUACGUAGCCGACCUGAGAGGGUGAUCGGCCACACUGGAACUGAGACACGGUCCAGACUCCUACGGGAGGCAGCAGUAGGGAAUCUUCCGCAAUGGGCGAAAGCCUGACGGAGCAACGCCGCGUGAGUGAUGAAGAUCUUCGGAGCGUAAAACUCUGUUAUUAGGGAAGAACAAAUGUGUAAGUAACUGUGCACGUCUUGACGGUACCUAAUCAGAAAGCCACGGCUAACUACGUG